RNAcentral lists this ribosomal RNA (450 nucleotides) under uncultured bacterium. Its description in RNAcentral is "partial 16S ribosomal RNA". It matches the Rfam family "Bacterial small subunit ribosomal RNA", at positions 354 to 796 of the family's 1533-position model. The record is from RNAcentral.
GUGGGGAAUUUUGGACAAUGGGCGAAAGCCUGAUCCAGCCAUGCCGCGUGCAGGAUGAAGGCCUUCGGGUUGUAAACUGCUUUUGUACGGAACGAAAAGACUCCUUCUAAUAAAGGGGGUCCAUGACGGUACCGUAAGAAUAAGCACCGGCUAACUACGUGCCAGCAGCCGCGGUAAUACGUAGGGUGCAAGCGUUAAUCGGAAUUACUGGGCGUAAAGCGUGCGCAGGCGGUUAUAUAAGACAGAUGUGAAAUCCCCGGGCUCAACCUGGGAAUUGCGCUUGUGACUGCAAGGCUGGAGUGCGGCAGAGGGGGAUGGAAUUCCGCGUGUAGCAGUGAAAUGCGUAGAUAUGCGGAGGAACACCGAUGGCGAAGGCAAUCCCCUGGGCCUGCACUGACGCUCAUGCACGAAAGCGUGGGGAGCAAACAGGAUUAGAUACCCGAGUAGUCC